UAGGGAAUCUUCGGCAAUGGACGAAAGUCUGACCGAGCAACGCCGCGUGAGUGAAGAAGGUUUUCGGAUCGUAAAACUCUGUUGUUAGAGAAGAACAAGGACGUUAGUAACUGAACGUCCCCUGACGGUAUCUAACCAGAAAGCCACGGCUAACUACGUGCCAGCAGCCGCGGUAAUACGUAGGUGGCAAGCGUUGUCCGGAUGUAUUGGGCGUAAAGCGAGCGCAGGCGGUUUCUUAAGUCUGAUGUGAAAGCCCCCGGCUCAACCGGGGAGGGUCAUUGGAAACUGGGAGACUUGAGUGCAGAAGAGGAGAGUGGAAUUCCAUGUGUAGCGGUGAAAUGCGUAGAUAUAUGGAGGAACACCAGUGACGAAGGCGGCUCUCUGGUCUGUAACUGACGCUGAGGCUCGAAAGCGUGGGGAGCAAACAGG
RNAcentral lists this ribosomal RNA (429 nucleotides) under Chloroflexota bacterium. Its description in RNAcentral is "Chloroflexi bacterium partial 16S ribosomal RNA". It matches the Rfam family "Bacterial small subunit ribosomal RNA", at positions 355 to 776 of the family's 1533-position model. Lineage: Bacteria; Bacillati; Chloroflexota. The record is from RNAcentral.